RNAcentral lists this ribosomal RNA (253 nucleotides) under uncultured bacterium. RNAcentral's name for it is "partial 16S ribosomal RNA". It matches the Rfam family "Bacterial small subunit ribosomal RNA", at positions 524 to 776 of the family's 1533-position model. The record is from RNAcentral.
UACGUAGGGUGCAAGCGUUGUCCGGAAUUAUUGGGCGUAAAGAGCUCGUAGGCGGCUUGUCACGUCGACUGUGAAAACCCGGGGCUCAACUCCGGGCCUGCAGUCGAUACGGGCUGGCUUGAGUGCGGUAGGGGAGACUGGAAUUCCUGGUGUAGCGGUGAAAUGCGCAGAUAUCAGGAGGAACACCUACGGCGAAGGCAGCUCGCUGGGACGGUACUGACGCUGAGACGCGAAAGCGUGGGGAGCAAACAGG